This 1024-nucleotide long non-coding RNA is filed under the name Actinidia chinensis (golden kiwifruit). Its description in RNAcentral is "long non-coding RNA (ACHI_LNC008973)". The record is from RNAcentral. Lineage: Eukaryota; Viridiplantae; Streptophyta; Magnoliopsida; Ericales; Actinidiaceae.
CAAAACAUACAACGCCGCUAUCCUUACUAGUUCAUCUCAUAUUACAUAAAAAAUUCCUUUCAUCCUGUGCAAUCGUCUUUUUUUCCUCCUUUUGACAUGCAAUUAAUCUCCAAUCAUUUUAUACACUUCAACAAUCAUCAAUCAACAAACUUUCCUAGGGGGCAAAAUUGUCAUGUUUGAACAAGCCUACUAAAAAACAAAAUGAGAAACCAGAAAUUAGAUCAUCAUGUUCAUGCCAUGUGAUGAUUGGAAAUGCCAUUCAUUCGGUGCUUAUGUCUCAGAGCGCUUGGAUUUCUUCUUUGAAGGCUCUCCAGCAGCAAUAUCUUUCAGGAUCAAUAUUCUCAAAAGAUUUUCGCUUCCCAAACUCUUUUGCCUUUUUCUGCAACACAAGUCAAGCAUUUAGGAACGAAUCCAAAUUGUGGGGAGACUAAUACAUAUUAUGCAUGUGUAUCAAAAUCCUUCAAUGUCCGAGGAACAAAAUUUUGUACUCCCUCUGUUCCAAUUUUUUUGUCCACUUUCACUUUUUUUGCUGUCCCAAAAUACAUGUCCACUUUAGAAAGUCAAUGAAUCAAAUCUUGUAAAAUUCCCCUUUUGUUCUUUUCCUUUUAAAUAAAAGUAAGAAGCCAAAACACAAAAGAAAUAACAUUUAGAAGGGUAAUUGAGGAAACUUAAAACUUUUCGAGUGCAAUCAUUUUGUUCCCUUAAAAAGUUGGAUUCCCAAAAAAGGGACAAACAACUUGGGACGGAGGGAGUAGCAGUUAAAGUCUAAUUGAUCUUAGUACAUUUAAACAUUAAUGACAUUGCCAUGGCAGCCACAUCGUUCCUGUCAUCAGUAGAUGUGCAAAGAUCAUGCCAUGUGGGUUCCUGCAGUGGUGUAACCGAGAUGGAAUGAAAAAAGCAAAUACUAAAAAGUGAUGCACAAGGCCAAAUUUCAGAAACAAACCUUGAGAGGAACAAAUGCCUCUUCCUUUUUUCUUUUGUUUUCUGCUGUUUUCUCAGCCUGUUGCUCCUGCUUUUCUUGCCA